This 497-nucleotide ribosomal RNA is filed under the name uncultured bacterium. RNAcentral's name for it is "partial 16S ribosomal RNA". It matches the Rfam family "Bacterial small subunit ribosomal RNA", at positions 28 to 507 of the family's 1533-position model. The record is from RNAcentral.
GAUGAACGCUGGCGGCGUGCCUAAUACAUGCAAGUCGAGCGAACAGACGAGGAGCUUGCUCCUCUGACGUUAGCGGCGGACGGGUGAGUAACACGUGGAUAACCUACCUAUAAGACUGGGAUAACUUCGGGAAACCGGAGCUAAUACCGGAUAAUAUAUUGAACCGCAUGGUUCAAUAGUGAAAGACGGUUUUGCUGUCACUUAUAGAUGGAUCCGCGCCGCAUUAGCUAGUUGGUAAGGUAACGGCUUACCAAGGCAACGAUGCGUAGCCGACCUGAGAGGGUGAUCGGCCACACUGGAACUGAGACACGGUCCAGACUCCUACGGGAGGCAGCAGUAGGGAAUCUUCCGCAAUGGGCGAAAGCGUGACGGAGCAACGCCGCGUGAGUGAUGAAGGUCUUCGGAUCGUAAAACUCUGUUAUUAGGGAAGAACAAAUGUGUAAGUAACUAUGCACGUCUUGACGGUACCUAAUCAGAAGGCCACGGCUAACUACGUG